RNAcentral lists this long non-coding RNA (201 nucleotides) under Solanum tuberosum (potato). RNAcentral's name for it is "long non-coding RNA (STUB_LNC004161)". Lineage: Eukaryota; Viridiplantae; Streptophyta; Magnoliopsida; Solanales; Solanaceae. The record is from RNAcentral.
CCUCAGCAAACCUACACCAACAACAGUGCUAGCAGACCUUACCACUAAAUCGUGGAAGGUAAAGAGGUUGUUUCCCAAAGAGGAAAUGUCCUCAGCCUACUUUUUUGGUUCAAAUUUGGCCCUUAAACUGACAGACUAUACCUGAUUAUCAAAUCUGACACUUUAUUUCCAUUUGAAAAUCCCAGAAAUUAAUAACAUAAC